Molecule: ribosomal RNA, 253 nt
Filed under: uncultured bacterium
Lineage: Bacteria
Description: partial 16S ribosomal RNA
Rfam family: Bacterial small subunit ribosomal RNA
Source: RNAcentral
UACGUAGGUCCCGAACGUUGCGCGAAUUUACUGGGCGUAAAGGGUCCGUAGGCGGUUUAGCAAGUGGUUGGUGAAAUUUCACGGCUCAACCGUGAAACUGCCUUCCAAACUGCUAAACUUGAGGCAGUGAGAGGUAGGCGGAAUUCCCGGUGUAGCGGUGAAAUGCGGAGAUAUCGGGAGGAACACCAGUGGCGAAGGCGGCCGACUGGAACUGUCCUGACGCUGAGGGAAGAAAGCUAGGGGAGCAAACCGG